Carassius gibelio (silver crucian carp) is the source of this 952-nucleotide long non-coding RNA. RefSeq lists it as uncharacterized. NCBI's taxonomy places the organism in Eukaryota, Metazoa, Chordata, Actinopteri, Cypriniformes, Cyprinidae. The transcript is spliced from 4 exons. The record is from RefSeq and is a predicted model, not a curated record.
UGUAAAAAAUAAUUCAGUGGCUUAGUAAAUUUCACAAAAAUAAAGAGCUAUAUUAACUUAAUAAAAUCUUUUGAAAUCAUUUAAGUGAUUUUUUGAGUGGGUCAGAUUAAAAAGAAUAAUUAAAAAUCCAACAAAUAAUUUCUCUAAAAUUUACAUAUAUUAUUUAAGUUUAUGUAAUGAAAAUAAAUAAGUAUUUAACUAACUAAUUAUAUUUUUAAUAUACCUUCAAUAUUUCUGGUGAAUUCUAAUAGAAAUAUUUGAUAAUUAUUUACUUGUACUGAUCUGUUUUAGAAACUAAAAUUAUUAAGUAUUUCCAACCAAUUUUCCUAAAUAAAGUUCCAGCUUAAUAAAUGACAGAUUAAAUAAAUUGAGUAAAUUUCGCGGCUAAAGUGAUCACGUGUGCAGCUCCGCAGGAAAAAAAAAAUCUGCUUUCCUCAGCAGCGACGUCGACUAGCCAUACCUCACAGCUCCUGUUUCGUAGCUUAAUCGAAGUCACCUGAAGGACGGCUUUCCUCAGCAACGGCAAGACCCGCACUCCUCUCAUAAUCGUGAAGUUUAACAAGUUUCGCGGCUCAAACAAGAGGCACCUGUCACUGAAGGACUGCUUUUCUCAGCAACGACGUGAACAGCAUUACUCGAAUUUCCUGGUUCAGCUGAUCUACCCGUCUUCGUACAAGCAGAGUUGGCAGAGGAGGUCAUAAAAAUCGACAUCCUUCGGAACAAUAAUGGGGCAGUCAGCGACGUAAUCUUGGGAAUCUCAGCAGAGCCUGCUGCCAUCUUUCAGGAGUCACAUUGGAUUUGAGAUAUCCCAAGACCCACAAAUACAGGUCCUUCUCCAAAAAUUAGCAUAUUGUGAUAAAGUUCAUUAUUUUCCAUAAUGUAAUGAUAAAAAUUAAACUUUCAUAUAUUUUAGAUUCAUUGCACACCAACUGAAAUAUUUCAGGUCUUUUAU